GAUGAACGCUGGCGGCGUGCCUAAUACAUGCAAGUCGAGCGAACAGACGAGGAGCUUGCUCCUCUGACGUUAGCGGCGGACGGGUGAGUAACACGUGGAUAACCUACCUAUAAGACUGGGAUAAAUUCGGGAAACCGGAGCUAAUACCGGAUAAUAUAUUGAACCGCAUGGUUCAAUAGUGAAAGACGGUUUUGCUGUCACUUAUAGAUGGAUCCGCGCCGCAUUAGCUAGUUGGUAAGGUAACGGCUUACCAAGGCGACGAUGCGUAGCCGACCUGAGAGGGUGAUCGGCCACACUGGAACUGAGACACGGUCCAGACGCCUACGGGAGGCAGCAGUAGGGAAUCUUCCGCAAUGGGCGAAAGCCUGACGGAGCAACGCCGCGUGAGUGAUGAAGGUCUUCGGAUCGUAAAACUCUGUUAUUAGGGAAGAACAAAUGUGUAAGUAACUAUGCACGUCUUGACGGUACCUAAUCAGAAAGCCACGGCUAACUACGUG
RNAcentral lists this ribosomal RNA (497 nucleotides) under uncultured bacterium. RNAcentral describes it as "partial 16S ribosomal RNA". It matches the Rfam family "Bacterial small subunit ribosomal RNA", at positions 28 to 507 of the family's 1533-position model. The record is from RNAcentral.